This 459-nucleotide ribosomal RNA is filed under the name uncultured bacterium. RNAcentral describes it as "partial 16S ribosomal RNA". It matches the Rfam family "Bacterial small subunit ribosomal RNA", at positions 338 to 795 of the family's 1533-position model. The record is from RNAcentral.
CCUACGGGUGGCAGCAGUGAGGAAUAUUGGUCAAUGGGAGAGAUACUGAACCAGCCAAGCCGCGUGAGGGAAGACGGCCCUAUGUGUUGUAAACCUCUUUUGUCAGAGAACAAAACCCGGGACGUGUCCCGGACUGCGUGUAUCCGAAGAAAAAGCAUCGGCUAACUCCGUGCCAGCAGCCGCGGUAAUACGGAGGAUGCGAGCGUUAUCCGGAUUUAUUGGGUUUAAAGGGUGCGCAGGCGGAAUGUCAAGUCAGCGGUAAAAGUUCGGGGCUCAACCCCGCCGUGCCGUUGAAACUGGCGUUCUUGAGUGAGCGAGAAGUAUGCGGAAUGCGUGGUGUAGCGGUGAAAUGCAUAGAUAUCACGCAGAACUCCGAUUGCGAAGGCAGCAUACCGGCGCUCAACUGACGCUCAUGCACGAAAGCGUGGGUAUCGAACAGGAUUAGAUACCCCUGUAGUC